This 291-nucleotide ribosomal RNA is filed under the name uncultured bacterium. RNAcentral's name for it is "partial 16S ribosomal RNA". It matches the Rfam family "Bacterial small subunit ribosomal RNA", at positions 28 to 334 of the family's 1533-position model. The record is from RNAcentral.
GAUGAACGCUAGCGGGAGGCUUAAUACAUGCAAGUCGAGGGAGAAAUUAAUCUUCGGAAUAAUGGAAACCGGCGAACGGGUGAGUAACGCGUACACUACCUACCUUAUACUGGGGAAUAGCCUUUGGAAACGAAGAGUAAUACCCCAUAGUCCCGCAAGGGUAAAGCUCCGGCGGUAUGAGAUGGGUGUGCGUCUGAUUAGCUAGUUGGUGAGGUAAUGGCUCACAAAGGCGACGAUCAGUAGGGGGCGUGAGAGCGUGAUCCCCCACACGGGUACUGAGACACGGACCCG